AUGAUCAAGAAGAGGCCUGGCCUAGGCACCAGAAAGUGUCCUGUCAGCAGGGAUUCCAGAGCACAAAUUGCAUCUGGGCUGCAGACACUCCAGGAGAUAUGGACUUCAGUAAGACGUUUGACUCUCAGACUUAGUUCCAAUUUGUCAGAAACACUAGAUUGCCUCGCAGGAUGCUCGCAAGAUAGUUUUUUUGGACCCUGUUCUGCAAGACAGUUUCCCCCCCCCCAUUGGAAUUACAUAAGACCUACAGUACUUUUUGGAGAAAGUGUAUGCUGCUAGCUUUCCAGGGUCUGCUUCCUAGAAAAACAACAGCAUAUGCUUUCUCCCCCACUUUUUUUGGGAUAAAAAAGUAGGCCUUAUGUAAUUAAUGUAUUUCAAUGGGGGGGAAAAACCCAUCUUACAAAGCAUCACCAGUGGGGCUAUGGCUACAAAUUCAAAUGGUAGAAGAUGGUGAAAAUAGAUAAGAAUCAAAGGGUAAAGAGAUUAUAAAAAAAACUAAAAUCAUAAACAUAAUGCCCUCAUUAACACAAAUUACACAGUUAAGUUCCCCACAUUUAGGGAAAUCACAGGGAUCAACAACACAUCAAAAUGCAAUGGAUGACCCUCCACCUGAAAAAAUUAUUUUUACAACAUGGUAUUUGUACUGCAAGAUAUGAGUUGGAAUGGCCCUUUCACCUCCUACCCCAUUUUGUCCCCUGACCCCCCAAGUCAUGGUGACCCCCUGGCUGUACCUCCCAUUCAGUAUAGGGCUACAUAGCUCCAGUUCUGCCAGAGGCCAAGA
Molecule: long non-coding RNA, 781 nt
Filed under: Pogona vitticeps (central bearded dragon)
Lineage: Eukaryota; Metazoa; Chordata; Lepidosauria; Squamata; Agamidae
Description: lncRNA (ENSPVIG00000005444.1)
Source: RNAcentral